Long non-coding RNA from Hordeum vulgare subsp. vulgare (domesticated barley), 1173 nucleotides. RefSeq lists it as uncharacterized. The transcript has 4 exons. The record is from RefSeq and is a predicted model, not a curated record. Lineage: Eukaryota; Viridiplantae; Streptophyta; Magnoliopsida; Poales; Poaceae.
ACCUCUAACCCGGUUAGAGUAUCCAAAACAGGGCCGAAGUGUAGGUGCUCCAGCAUCACGGCCAGAAGACCGUACCGCGGAGACGGCGUCCUGUCCCACCAAGGGAUCGUCCCCGACGCGCUGCCCUUCGCCUCGAACCGCGACAUACACCGCUGCUUAAAGGUGAGCACGGCCGGCUGCGCUACGUUCAGAUCCAUGGUGCAUGUGAGAAGCCGGCGGUCCGCAUCUGGACGCUGACCUCCAGUGAUCCGUCAAACGCGACAUGGGGGAGCCCGAUCAACCUCCCCUUUGGAUGAGGUUUGGGAGGACAGCAGCUACAGUGAUGAUGUCCGGUUGCGUCCGUGGGUCGUCCCUGCUUAAUUGGCACUGGUCCACCCCAUGAACGCCAACGAGGUCUACUUCUUCUUGGACGCAUACAUCUUCGCCAUCGACCUCACAAAGAAAAAGGUCGUGUGCUGCCAGGAGUUCAGCAUUGGGUGGCUGCCCGCCUGGUCCAUGCUUGGCAGUGGCCGGUGAAGGUCACCAAGACGAGUCCUCAGCCUGCAGGUAGGUGAAGCUGAUAGUUAUCCAAAGGCACAAUGAACUUGGACAAUAUGGAUUUAUCGUGGCAAUAGUCAUUUGGUACGAGGGCCUAACGGGUUUCAUGUCAAGGAGACUGGUUUAUUGAGUCGGUGGAAGUCGAUGGAGGAUUUCCAUAAAAAAGCCAUCAUCAUAAUCGGGUCACGUUCCGAACUGCAUGACAGGGGCAUGUAGAACAUCCAAGCACGGACUGUUUCAUUCCAGUGUUUUGGAUGGGGAAUGUUUAUCAAUUUAAUUGAUAUGUUUGGGCUUAGUGAAGUACAGUACAAAUCAGCUUAUUUGUCUGAGCACUUAGUUGUAUGAUUGCUAACAAAAUUAUGGGGCAUUACGUUUGUGUUCAGGUCUCGACGAUUACUCAGAUGACUCAGAUGCGAGCGAGGAGGAGAUUUAGCAGUGCCCCUUCGUAGCCAGCAAAACCCCUUGUCAGCUUCUUCAUUGUCACUAUGUUGCAUCUACUGUGUUGCUCUUUAAUUAUUGACUUGUCAAACGUUAGACAAAUAUGUGAUGCAUGUGGAUCGGUUUGGACGUUUUCUUUUUUUGUAAAUUGGCAAGUGAUCUGUAUGCUUCUACAUAAAAAAGAUUGUUGUGGUUUAA